RNAcentral lists this non-coding RNA (116 nucleotides) under Clostridium sp. RNAcentral describes it as "Azaaromatic sequence". It matches the Rfam family "azaaromatic riboswitch aptamer (yjdF RNA)". Lineage: Bacteria; Bacillati; Bacillota; Clostridia; Eubacteriales; Clostridiaceae. The record is from RNAcentral.
AUUCAUAAGAGAUAAAAACACAGUUUCUGUUGGUAGUCAGAACCUAUAUAUAUAUUUCAAAUUUAAUAUAGCAGUAACCUGCCCUCCUGGGGUUGUCCAUUCUCUGUGAAUUUAUA